This 495-nucleotide ribosomal RNA is filed under the name uncultured bacterium. RNAcentral's name for it is "partial 16S ribosomal RNA". It matches the Rfam family "Bacterial small subunit ribosomal RNA", at positions 28 to 507 of the family's 1533-position model. The record is from RNAcentral.
GACGAACGCUGGCGGCGUGCCUAAUACAUGCAAGUAGAACGCUGAAGGAGGAGCUUGCUUCUCUGGAUGAGUUGCGAACGGGUGAGUAACGCGUAGGUAACCUGCCUGGUAGCGGGGGAUAACUAUUGGAAACGAUAGCUAAUACCGCAUAAGAGUAGAUGUCGCAUGACAUUUGCUUAAAAGGUGCAAUUGCAUCACUACCAGAUGGACCUGCGUUGUAUUAGCUAGUUGGUGAGGUAACGGCUCACCAAGGCAACGAUACAUAGCCGACCUGAGAGGGUGAUCGGCCACACUGGGACUGAGACACGGCCCAGACUCCUACGGGAGGCAGCAGGAGGGAAGCGUCGGCAAUGGACGGAAGGCUGACCGAGCAACGCCGCGUGAGGGAAGAAGGGUGUCGGAUCGUAAAGCUCGGUUGUAAGAGAAGAACGAGUGUGAGAGUGGAAAGUUCACAAUGUGACGGUAUCUGACCAGAAAGGGACGGCUAACUACGUG